Molecule: long non-coding RNA, 345 nt
Organism: Dendronephthya gigantea
Lineage: Eukaryota; Metazoa; Cnidaria; Anthozoa; Malacalcyonacea; Nephtheidae
Exons: 2
Source: RefSeq, a predicted model, not a curated record
GUCCAGGCCUCCUGGUCCCACUGGAAACACAGCUGAAAGUAGGCACAAUCGCCAGCCAUGCAGUGUCUCCCGACAUGGCGACAGUCAUUAUAAAAGAUGAACAGCAAUGUCCUUCAACAUGUCGGCAACCGACUGUCUGCGCCCCAUCGUGCUCAAUACGAUGCUGCUCGGCUCCUCAAACGCCACCCUGUCCCAGUCCUUGCUCUAGCGGAUGCGCUCCUAGCUGUACCACAUCGUGCUGUGCUUUGACGAAGCGAAGUAUCCUCGCUCUCAAAAACUGAGUCGAUAUUAAACAUACAUUUCGUAGCCUACGUUAAUUUGAUAUUAAAAAUUUGGUUAUGGUAA